This 1450-nucleotide ribosomal RNA is filed under the name Bacillus sp. FJAT-22058. RNAcentral's name for it is "bacterial SSU rRNA". It matches the Rfam family "Bacterial small subunit ribosomal RNA". The record is from RNAcentral. Lineage: Bacteria; Bacillati; Bacillota; Bacilli; Caryophanales; Bacillaceae.
UGAUCCUGGCUAGGCUGGAUCACCUCCUUUCUCCUGAGUUUUAUCCCGGAUCAGGGUGGAUCACCUCCUUUCUCCGCCUGUUUAACCCGGAUCCUCCGGGAAACCGGAGCUAAUACCGGAUAGUUCCUUGAACCGCAUGGUUCAAGGAUGAAAGACGGUUUCGGCUGUCACUUACAGAUGGACCCGCGGCGCAUUAGCUAGUUGGUGGGGUAAUGGCUCACCAAGGCGACGAUGCGUAGCCGACCUGAGAGGGUGAUCGGCCACACUGGGACUGAGACACGGCCCAGACUCCUACGGGAGGCAGCAGUAGGGAAUCUUCCGCAAUGGACGAAAGUCUGACGGAGCAACGCCGCGUGAGUGAUGAAGGUUUUCGGAUCGUAAAGCUCUGUUGUUAGGGAAGAACAAGUGCGAGAGUAACUGCUCGCACCUUGACGGUACCUAACCAGAAAGCCACGGCUAACUACGUGCCAGCAGCCGCGGUAAUACGUAGGUGGCAAGCGUUGUCCGGAAUUAUUGGGCGUAAAGGGCUCGCAGGCGGUUUCUUAAGUCUGAUGUGAAAGCCCCCGGCUCAACCGGGGAGGGUCAUUGGAAACUGGGAAACUUGAGUGCAGAAGAGGAGAGUGGAAUUCCACGUGUAGCGGUGAAAUGCGUAGAGAUGUGGAGGAACACCAGUGGCGAAGGCGACUCUCUGGUCUGUAACUGACGCUGAGGAGCGAAAGCGUGGGGAGCGAACAGGAUUAGAUACCCUGGUAGUCCACGCCGUAAACGAUGAGUGCUAAGUGUUAGGGGGUUUCCGCCCCUUAGUGCUGCAGCUAACGCAUUAAGCACUCCGCCUGGGGAGUACGGUCGCAAGACUGAAACUCAAAGGAAUUGACGGGGGCCCGCACAAGCGGUGGAGCAUGUGGUUUAAUUCGAAGCAACGCGAAGAACCUUACCAGGUCUUGACAUCCUCUGACAACCCUAGAGAUAGGGCUUUCCCUUCGGGGACAGAGUGACAGGUGGUGCAUGGUUGUCGUCAGCUCGUGUCGUGAGAUGUUGGGUUAAGUCCCGCAACGAGCGCAACCCUUGAUCUUAGUUGCCAGCAUUUAGUUGGGCACUCUAAGGUGACUGCCGGUGACAAACCGGAGGAAGGUGGGGAUGACGUCAAAUCAUCAUGCCCCUUAUGACCUGGGCUACACACGUGCUACAAUGGACAGAACAAAGGGCUGCGAGACCGCAAGGUUUAGCCAAUCCCAUAAAUCUGUUCUCAGUUCGGAUCGCAGUCUGCAACUCGACUGCGUGAAGCUGGAAUCGCUAGUAAUCGCGGAUCAGCAUGCCGCGGUGAAUAUGUUCCCGGGCUUGGUACACGCCCCCGCUUGCACCACCUCUUUUUCCCUGAGUUGGAUCUUGGCCCAGGUUGGAUCACCUCCUUUCCCCUGAGUUUGAUCCUGGCUCAGGCUGGAUCACCUCC